RNAcentral lists this ribosomal RNA (366 nucleotides) under uncultured bacterium. RNAcentral describes it as "bacterial SSU rRNA". It matches the Rfam family "Bacterial small subunit ribosomal RNA", at positions 29 to 419 of the family's 1533-position model. The record is from RNAcentral.
AACGAACGCUGGCGGCAGGCUUAACACAUGCAAGUCGAACGAACGUAGCAAUACGUUAGUGGCGCACGGGUGAGUAACACGUGGAUAUCUGCCUUUUGGUUCGGGAUAACCCUGGGAAACUAGGGCUAAUACCGAAUGGUUCCUACGGGAUAAAGAUUUAUCGCCAAAAGAUGAGUCCGCGUCCGAUUAGCUAGUUGGUGGGGUAAUGGCUCACCAAGGCGACGAUCGGUAGCUGGUCUGAGAGGACGAUCAGCCACACUGGGACUGAGACACGGCCCAGACUCCUACGGGAGGCAGCAGUGGGGAAUAUUGGGACAAUGGGGGCAACCCUGAUCCAGCCAUGCCGCGUGAGUGAUGAAGGCCUUC